Molecule: transfer RNA, 86 nt
Filed under: Melanopsichium pennsylvanicum
Lineage: Eukaryota; Fungi; Basidiomycota; Ustilaginomycetes; Ustilaginales
Description: transfer RNA-Ser(TGA)
Rfam family: tRNA
About the family: Transfer RNA (tRNA) molecules are approximately 80 nucleotides in length. Their secondary structure includes four short double-helical elements and three loops (D, anti-codon, and T loops).
Source: RNAcentral
GGACGUGUGACAGAGUGGUUUAAUGUACCUGGCUUGAGUCUAGGAGUUCUUACCGAGAACCGGGAGUUCGAAUCUCCCCGCGUCCG